UCACAUGGGCUGCAGCUCUGUGCUGAUUGGGCCACAGGUUAAGAACCACUGCGAUAGCCAAUCUGGCGAAAAGUGGUUAGUGGGUUUAGUGGCCUCUUUCUGCCACAAAUGUAGUGAUGGUCCAUUUUCGUAUUUGCCAUAAAAACUGGUCCAGCUAUUAGUUUGGGAGUGGGAAAAGAAUUGAGGAUAGUUGCUUUGGAAAUAGACCUUUGAGUUUUUUUGAUUGUGCAAAACACAUUUAAUCAUCUGACUGUUGUGAUUCAGUAAAAUACAUUGCUCAGAUGGCAGCUCUCUGCAAAUCUCUACCCUGUCAGAAUAGGAAGUAGAUGAUGAUAAUCACAGCUAGAAUGAAUACUGGUAUCAUGUUUCUGCUAGUGUAUCUGCAGUUUAAAUGCAACGUCAUUGCUGGCCAAGUGACAUAUGUAUACUGAGGAUGUCUAUGAAAGAGACACAGACUUUUAAUCCACAAUUUUUUGAUCCCUUGGCCAACACAGACUUGAAAUACAACAGACUCCUCUGGGUGGUUACAAGUUGUGCGCCUCACUUCUCAAACCAACCUUUUUUUUAAGAGGCGUGGAAGGAUCCACAGUCAGGAGUCCUCACCAGUCCUUGAUUGGGCAGAUGGUGCCCACGUAAAGCCCAAGUGUAAAGGAGGAAAAGGUGAACUACCAGAUGGAUUUCCACUGCAACAUCCACAUUUCAUUCAGGUCAUCAGACACAGUGUAGUGUUGUUAAGAUUGAGCCUUUUUAUUCAGUCAAGUAUUUAACUCAAAUUAUAUCUAGUACAAUGGUAUAUCUUGAAUGUUGGGAUACUCCAUACUUCCCUGCAAGUCUAUGCACCAGAUCUUUUGAUUUCACCAACCAUCUGUGACCCUAGCAAAAAACUCUAGUUUUAGUAGUACCAUUUUUAAAUGGUACUGAACUCAUCUCAAGGUUUGUCUUGGCUAGGAAUUAAAAGGUAAGACCAACAGCUGAUGACAGUGUAGCAGUCUCUUGUAUAAGAUCAUGUUUGAUGUAAUGGAUCAUUUCGGGCUUCUUAGAACAAUGGGUUAAGAAAUCUGAUUUUUGAGACCAUGGGAUUCUUUUUUCCCUCUCCCUUCCUUUACAGGGGGUGUAGAAAGAAGACACGUUGUGGGGGAGUUGAUAGGUUAGAUGAGGUACAUCAGUUUCAGCAGCAGAAUUUCAGCAUUUGCUACUUACUGGUAGAGAAGAAAAAUCCCACAGCACUGCCAGUACAGGUUAGUUUAAUCUGUAAGUACCUGAUGUUCCUGUUUGAAAUACUGUGUUCAAAUACCAUUUAAGUACAUGAGGAGAGAGCCUUUUGAUCACCUAAAUGUGAAUACGUCUUUGUGUAGGAUAUAUGUUGCUGUCUUCAACAGAGAGUAAAUUUGUAGAAUUUAACGGUUUUUAAAAAAAUACAAUGAUUCUAACUACACCUAGGGGUACUAUACUUUUACAAGCACCUGAUUAACGGAAAUGGGGAUUAAAAGUUUUGAAAGCCAUUUUGGCAGUAUUGAGAAGCUUAAUGGACACAUGGACAUGGAUUCAACAGUCACUUCAGUAAUUCACUUACUACCAAGAGAGGUCAUUUUACCAGAGUGAAUUGAUGAUACAAGAUUUGAUAUUUGCUUAUAUUGGGGAUUAGGUGUUCAUGCCUCUAAUACUGUAGCAGUAAUUUAACCUUGACUUAAAUUUUCUGGUUACAGAUAUAUAAUAUCACCUGACUUAAUACCCUCACUCUUAUAUAUUUACUGUAGUAGGCCCUGUGCAUGGGAUUAGACUUUGAAAUCCAUUUUAGCCCCUUUUUACACUUCAAAGAGCUCCUACAAAUGUUUUCCUCAGAUUUUAGUUUACCCCAUAUUUAUUGUUUUUCCCUCAUAUUACUUUCUCCUUCCACCCCUCCAGUAUUGCUUAGUGUGCUUUAUCUGCUUAAAUUUGAAGCAGAUGACGUAAUUGUUUUGAUUUUUUUGGUUGUGCAAUGUCUUGAGCAUCUUGAGUACUUUGAAUGAAAUUAACUUCAGAAGAUAAAAUUUUAUAUGUGUACACAAAUGUACUGUGACCAUUUUUAGGUGCUCUAUAAAAAUAAACUCAAACUACAGCGCAUUAAAGAUCAAGGAAAUCCAACAGAUGGCAGUAGUCAAAUAGAAACUGAAACUAUUGUCAUCUCAAUUUAUCUAAUUAGAGCAACAAUCUGAAUAACAAUAUGAUAAACUGACAUUUACAGCUCCACUAAGUUGGUUUCAGAACUGAACAUCUUGCGUAGGUUUUAAGAAUUCAUUCUCAAUUAUAAUAUGUUCAUUUUUUAUGUUAUAGAAGAAAACACGCUUACUGAUUGAUAACCUUUGUAGUUUUAGCAGGACGCAUCUCCCAGGGGCUACUAUUAUAUGAUCAGGAAUUCAGACUGUAAAUGUUCACUUGCAGGCAAGUGGUGGUACACGCAGUUCAAAUUUCUCGCUUGUGAUGUGCCUGUUCAGAUUUGUCUUUUGGGAACCUGGUGGGUCACUUUUAUAUAGAAUUUAAAAUUAAUCUGUUGCCCUAUAACUCCUAAUUAUAAUUGGCAGUUAUGUGCAUGUGUAAAAACUACAGAUUCCUUACUGUCAAAUCAGUGACUAUAUGUAGUAAAGUUCACAAAGCUUUCCUUUUAAUUGAUUUUUUUAAAAAUAGUUAUGAAUCCAGUUGCCGUUUUGUGGCACCAAAUCUGUCAGCUUGUUAAUAACAACUGGUUCUUUUGGACUGCAAUAUUCUGUGAGGUCAACCUCCAGGGGUUGCCAAAAAAGAAAUAAUUUAACCUUCUACUUCACGGUACCCCAAUUUGAUAAUGAACACUCCCCUUUGCCACAGCCAGCCUCUAGUGCGGGGGUUGGCAACCUUCAGCACACAGCCCAUCAGGGUAAUCCUCUGGCAGGCCGCAAGACAUUUUUGUUUAUGUGGACUGUCCACAGGUAUUCUCUCCUCCCCCCCCUCUCUCCCCCGAGCUUCCUGCGGCCACGGUUUGCUGUGCCUGGCCAAUGGGAGCUGUGGGAAGCGGCAGGCUGCAGGGAUGUGCUGGCCGUGGCUUCAUUCUACUCCUAUUGGCUGAGAAUGGCGAACCGCGGCCCUGGGGACCCUGCGGACAGUCAAUGUAAACAGUGUCUUGUGACCUGCCAGUGGAUUACCCUGAUAGGCCGCGUGCCGAAGGUUGCUGACCUCUGCUGUAGUGCUUCAUAUUACAAGAAAGUACAGUGCUUCCAGAUUGCUUUAAUAUGAGCUAUGGUGGAAAUGCCACCUUUGAGAUUUUUUUAUGCCAGUUAAAUAGCUCACAGCAUAAUAUGAAUAUUGUUUCAAUAAUAAAGAACUAAAUGCAUUUUUCCUUUUGACACAGCAAAGAUUUUUCUGAAGGAUACUGGGAAUCUUAUACCUGUCAUUACCACACAAGUGAUUUUAAGUUGAGCUUUUGGUCCAUUGUCAUAGCUGUCCUGUAGCAUACAAUUUGAUCUUUUACUUUACGGUGGCAAUUACUUUGAGGCCACACUAAGAAUUUAUCUUUCUUCGAUGAACCAACAGUCAUUCGGGUAUCGAUAUUAAAAAGUUUCCCAAAUUCAUGUUUUUUGAAGAAGUGAAGUGAAUGGGACCAAGUUAACUGUUUUUAGAACAUUAAAAUAUGCUCAUCAAUCUGUGAGCAUGUGUGCAAAACUUGUAACAGAUGGUAGAAGUAUUGGUAAGAGGGAAGGGUAAAUUGAAAGGUUGGUAAGUAUGUGGGUAACUCUGUAAAAUGCAUGUUGACUGUAGAAAAUGGUAACUGUCUGCAGUUUAAUUUUCAUAGCAUUCAGUUGACAGAGAAGUGUUGAAGACCAUAUGGAACCAAGAACAAUGAAUCAAACUUGCAUUCCUUGUGUGUUCUUAUGGGGUUCAUUUUUCUUCAGGAAUGGGAAAUUGGAUAUAUGUACUUCCGUAAUAUGUAUCUAUUUAAUUCUGACUUUCUCUAAUGAUUAAACUUAGUAAUUUAAUAAAUGAA
This is a non-coding RNA of Chelonoidis abingdonii (Abingdon island giant tortoise), 3994 nucleotides long. NCBI's taxonomy places the organism in Eukaryota, Metazoa, Chordata, Testudines, Testudinidae. The record is from RefSeq and is a predicted model, not a curated record.